AGUGAACGCUGGCGGUAGGCCUAACACAUGCAAGUCGAACGGCAGCACAGUAAGAGCUUGCUCUUACGGGUGGCGAGUGGCGGACGGGUGAGGAAUACAUCGGAAUCUACUUUUUCGUGGGGGAUAACGUAGGGAAACUUACGCUAAUACCGCAUACGACCUACGGGUGAAAGCAGGGGAUCUUCGGACCUUGCGCGAUUGAAUGAGCCGAUGUCGGAUUAGCUAGUUGGCGGGGUAAAGGCCCACCAAGGCGACGAUCCGUAGCUGGUCUGAGAGGAUGAUCAGCCACACUGGAACUGAGACACGGUCCAGACUCCUACGGGAGGCAGCAGUGGGGAAUAUUGGACAAUGGGCGUAAGCCUGAUCCAGCCAUACCGCGUGGGUGAAGAAGGCCUUCGAGUUGUAAAGCCCUUUUGUUGGGAAAGAAAAGAAGCAGGUUAAUACCCCGCUGUUCUGACGGUACCCAAAGAAUAAGCACCGGCUAACUUCGUG
Molecule: ribosomal RNA, 492 nt
Filed under: uncultured bacterium
Lineage: Bacteria
Description: partial 16S ribosomal RNA
Rfam family: Bacterial small subunit ribosomal RNA
Source: RNAcentral